This 1155-nucleotide ribosomal RNA is filed under the name Triticum aestivum (bread wheat). Its description in RNAcentral is "partial small subunit ribosomal RNA". The record is from RNAcentral. Lineage: Eukaryota; Viridiplantae; Streptophyta; Magnoliopsida; Poales; Poaceae.
AUGCUCCGGCUCCGCCACAGCGUCCUUGCCCAGCUCCUAUCGUCUCCCUCCGCCUCCACCAUCUCCCCUCUCCACCGGCUCUUCUCCGCCGCCGCGCCCGCCGUUUCCCCCAACCCUAGCUUCGCCGUCGAGGAGUACCUCGUCGCCACCUGCGGCCUCACCCGACCCCAGGCCCUCAAGGCCUCCGCCAAGCUCUCCCACCUCAAGUCCCCUUCCAAGCCCGACGCCGUCCGCGCCUUCCUCGCCGGCCUCGGCCUCUCCGGCGCCGAUGUCGCUGCCGUGGUCGCCAAGGACCCGCGGCUCCUCUGCGCCAAAGUGGAGAAAACCCUGGCCCCCAUCGUCGCUGGGCUCAUCGGCCUCGGCCUCUCGCGUUCUGAGAUCGCGCGCCUCGUCUCACUCCCCACUGUCAAAUUCCGAUGUAGAUCCAUCGUCUCCAAGAUAGAGUACUACCUGCCUCUCUUUGGGUCCUCCGAGAAUCUCCUCCGGGCCCUCAAGAAGAACUUCUACCUUCUCUCGGCUGACCUCGACGAUGUGGUUAAGCCCAACACCGCGUUGCUGCGGGAGUGCAGGCUAGGUGCUUGUGAUAUUGCCAAGCUAUGCAUCAGUCAACCAUGGCUUCUCACCGCUAACGUGAAGCGUGUCCAAGCCAUGGUGGAAUGCGCUGAAAACAUUGGUGUGCCCCGUGCCUCUGGGAUGUUCAGGCAUGCGCUGCAUGCUGUUGCAUUUAUCAGCGAGGAGAAGAUUGCAACCAAGGUGAAGUACUUCAAGAACACCUUCAGAUGGACGGAUGCUGAGGUAGGCAUGGCUGUUUCUAAGUAUCCAACGGUGCUGAAUAAGUCCAAGGAAUCGCUGCAACGCAAGUUUGAGUUCCUCAUCUCCGAGGUGGGCUUGGAAUCGGCGUACAUUGCUCAUCGACCCGUAAUGUUUGGCCUCAGCCUAGAGGGCCGGCUCAGGCCCCGGUACUAUGCUGUAAAGUUUCUCAACGAGAAUGGAUUGCUCAAGUGCAGCCCAAGCUACAGCACUGUUUUCACGGAGACCGAAAAGGCAUUCAAGGAGAAGUUCAUAUGUCCUCAUAAGGAAGCUGCACCACACCUUGAAGAAGACUAUGAUGCGGCUUGUAAAGGGGAACUGCCGGCUAAUUUCAGAUUCACAUGA